UAGGGAAUCUUCCACAAUGGGCGAAAGCCUGAUGGAGCAACGCCGCGUGUGUGAUGAAGGGUUUCGGCUCGUAAACACUGUUGUAAGAGAAGAAUGACAUUGAGAGUAACUGUUCAAUGUGUGACGGUAUCUUACCAGAAGGAACGACUAAAUACGUGCCAG
RNAcentral lists this ribosomal RNA (162 nucleotides) under uncultured bacterium. RNAcentral's name for it is "partial 16S rRNA". It matches the Rfam family "Bacterial small subunit ribosomal RNA", at positions 355 to 511 of the family's 1533-position model. The record is from RNAcentral.